GGGGAAUUAGCUCAGUGGUAGAGUGCUUGCCUAGGAAGCGCAAGGCCCUGGGUUCGGUCCCCAGCUCCA
RNAcentral lists this transfer RNA (69 nucleotides) under Rattus norvegicus (Norway rat). It matches the Rfam family "tRNA". Rfam says of the family: Transfer RNA (tRNA) molecules are approximately 80 nucleotides in length. The record is from Rfam by way of RNAcentral. Lineage: Eukaryota; Metazoa; Chordata; Mammalia; Rodentia; Muridae.